GGUAUCCUGUCUGAAUAUGGGGGGACCAUCCUCCAAGGCUAAAUACUCCUGACUGACCGAUAGUGAACCAGUACCGUGAGGGAAAGGCGAAAAGAACCCCGGCGAGGGGAGUGAAAAAGAACCUGAAACCGUGUACGUACAAGCAGUGGGAGCACGCUUCGGCGUGUGACUGCGUACCUUUUGUAUAAUGGGUCAGCGACUUAUAUUCUGUAGCAAGGUUAACCGAAUAGGGGAGCCGAAGGGAAACCGAGUCUUAACUGGGCGUUAAGUUGCAGGGUAUAGACCCGAAACCCGGUGAUCUAGCCAUGGGCAGGUUGAAGGUUGGGUAACACUAACUGGAGGACCGAACCGACUAAUGUUGAAAAAUUAGCGGAUGACUUGUGGCUGGGGGUGAAAGGCCAAUCAAACCGGGAGAUAGCUGGUUCUCCCCGAAAGCUAUUUAGGUAGCGCCUCGUGAAUUCAUCUCCGGGGGUAGAGCACUGUUUCGGCAAGGGGGUCAUCCCGACUUACCAACCCGAUGCAAACUGCGAAUACCGGAGAAUGUUAUCACGGGAGACACACGGCGGGUGCUAACGUCCGUCGUGAAGAGGGAAACAACCCAGACCGCCAGCUAAGGUCCCAAAGUCAUGGUUAAGUGGGAAACGAUGUGGGAAGGCCCAGACAGCCAGGAUGUUGGCUUAGAAGCAGCCAUCAUUUAAAGAAAGCGUAAUAGCUCACUGGUCGAGUCGGCCUGCGCGGAAGAUGUAACGGGGCUAAACCAUGCACCGAAGCUGCGGCAGCGACGCUUAUGCGUUGUUGGGUAGGGGAGCGUUCUGUAAGCCUGUGAAGGUGUGCUGUGAGGCAUGCUGGAGGUAUCAGAAGUGCGAAUGCUGACAUAAGUAACGAUAAAGCGGGUGAAAAGCCCGCUCGCCGGAAGACCAAGGGUUCCUGUCCAACGUUAAUCGGGGCAGGGUGAGUCGACCCCUAAGGCGAGGCCGAAAGGCGUAGUCGAUGGGAAACAGGUUAAUAUUCCUGUACUUGGUGUUACUGCGAAGGGGGGACGGAGAAGGCUAUGUUGGCCGGGCGACGGUUGUCCCGGUUUAAGCGUGUAGGCUGGUUUUCCAGGCAAAUCCGGAAAAUCAAGGCUGAGGCGUGAUGACGAGGCACUACGGUGCUGAAGCAACAAAUGCCCUGCUUCCAGGAAAAGCCUCUAAGCAUCAGGUAACAUCAAAUCGUACCCCAAACCGACACAGGUGGUCAGGUAGAGAAUACCAAGGCGCUUGAGAGAACUCGGGUGAAGGAACUAGGCAAAAUGGUGCCGUAACUUCGGGAGAAGGCACGCUGAUAUGUAGGUGAAGCGACUUGCUCGUGGAGCUGAAAUCAGUCGAAGAUACCAGCUGGCUGCAACUGUUUAUUAAAAACACAGCACUGUGCAAACACGAAAGUGGACGUAUACGGUGUGACGCCUGCCCGGUGCCGGAAGGUUAAUUGAUGGGGUCAGCGCAAGCGAAGCUCUUGAUCGAAGCCCCGGUAAACGGCGGCCGUAACUAUAACGGUCCUAAGGUAGCGAAAUUCCUUGUCGGGUAAGUUCCGACCUGCACGAAUGGCGUAAUGAUGGCCAGGCUGUCUCCACCCGAGACUCAGUGAAAUUGAACUCGCUGUGAAGAUGCAGUGUACCCGCGGCAAGACGGAAAGACCCCGUGAACCUUUACUAUAGCUUGACACUGAACAUUGAGCCUUGAUGUGUAGGAUAGGUGGGAGGCUUUGAAGUGUGGACGCCAGUCUGCAUGGAGCCGACCUUGAAAUACCACCCUUUAAUGUUUGAUGUUCUAACGUUGACCCGUAAUCCGGGUUGCGGACAGUGUCUGGUGGGUAGUUUGACUGGGGCGGUCUCCUCCUAAAGAGUAACGGAGGAGCACGAAGGUUGGCUAAUCCUGGUCGGACAUCAGGAGGUUAGUGCAAUGGCAUAAGCCAGCUUGACUGCGAGCGUGACGGCGCGAGCAGGUGCGAAAGCAGGUCAUAGUGAUCCGGUGGUUCUGAAUGGAAGGGCCAUCGCUCAACGGAUAAAAGGUACUCCGGGGAUAACAGGCUGAUACCGCCCAAGAGUUCAUAUCGACGGCGGUGUUUGGCACCUCGAUGUCGGCUCAUCACAUCCUGGGGCUGAAGUAGGUCCCAAGGGUAUGGCUGUUCGCCAUUUAAAGUGGUACGCGAGCUGGGUUUAGAACGUCGUGAGACAGUUCGGUCCCUAUCUGCCGUGGGCGCUGGAGAACUGAGGGGGGCUGCUCCUAGUACGAGAGGACCGGAGUGGACGCAUCACUGGUGUUCGGGUUGUCAUGCCAAUGGCACUGCCCGGUAGCUAAAUGCGGAAGAGAUAAGUGCUGAAAGCAUCUAAGCACGAAACUUGCCCCGAGAUGAGUUCUCCCUGACCCUUUAAGGGUCCUGAAGGAACGUUGAAGACGACGACGUUGAUAGGCCGGGUGUGUAAGCGCAGCGAUGCGUUGAGCUAACCGGUACUAAUGAACCGUGAGG
RNAcentral lists this ribosomal RNA (2508 nucleotides) under Escherichia coli. Its description in RNAcentral is "partial 23S ribosomal RNA". It matches the Rfam family "Bacterial large subunit ribosomal RNA", at positions 428 to 2915 of the family's 2925-position model. The record is from RNAcentral. Lineage: Bacteria; Pseudomonadati; Pseudomonadota; Gammaproteobacteria; Enterobacterales; Enterobacteriaceae.